This 201-nucleotide unclassified non-coding RNA is filed under the name Hevea brasiliensis (rubber tree). The record is from RNAcentral. Lineage: Eukaryota; Viridiplantae; Streptophyta; Magnoliopsida; Malpighiales; Euphorbiaceae.
AGGUCUAGACACAGAGACGAUGGUAGCCCUGGGCAACUCGUCGAAAAUCCAAGUUGCCUCCGGGGUGACGCCCUGAGUGAAAGUGAAGAAGGACGACAACAUCGACUGGUGAUGCUGUUGGUGGUGGUGAUGCUGCAGCGGCGUCGACGGCUCUGAUUUCAUUUGGACAUAGCGGGGACCACUAGUCCCGCUCCCGCCCAU